Molecule: long non-coding RNA, 4095 nt
Organism: Chelonia mydas (Green sea turtle)
Lineage: Eukaryota; Metazoa; Chordata; Testudines; Cheloniidae
Exons: 4
Source: RefSeq, a predicted model, not a curated record
UUGUAAGCAAGUAUUUUUUAAGUGAGGUGAAACAUGGGGUAUGCAAGAUAAAUCAGAUUCCUGAAAGGGGUACAGUAGUCUGGAAAGGCUGAGAGCCAUUGGUGUAGACAUAUCCUAAGUUAUGAUCAAGUUCCGGUGACUUAUGCAACACAUUAUUUCUAAACUAUGUGGCAAAGACUCCAGCAUUAUGUGGCAUCUCACUCCCAAAAGCCGUUUCUCCCCUCUCCUAGUCCAGUCAGUCUUGUGUUAUUUACUUUGGUAUUAGAUUUAAUUUAUUUUAGGCAGCCCCCAAAAUUUGUACUUUCAAAGUACUACAAGUUUUGUUCUGACAAUGAAGAGCAGCAAUGAAGGACUUGUCAGGAGAAGAUCGAGGUUUCAUUUUUAGGUAGGGAAUACAAGGGGGAUUUAGCUCACAGGAAGCUGUGAGGUUGUUUUGGGAGCCAGCUGAGGGGUUUGGCAUUGAGGAGAAGAUUCUUUCCCUCCUGCUUCUGGCUGUGAAUAGGAGGGGAGGGCUCACUGAGGUGAGAGGGAAGGCGCUUGAAUUCCUCAUCUCUCAUUCCAGCAACGCUUGACAGCAUCGAGCCACCCCAGUCCACUCCCACCUCAAUGUCUGCGACUACAUCCAAAAGUGACAGAUCAGGUGAUAUCUGUCACCUCAGUAUUAACAGGCCACUGACAGGAAAGUUAACAUUUUCUCUGAGCCAAUGUUUCACGCUAUUGUUUGCAGACUAAGACAAAGAUUACUGCAUCAGUUUAUACCAGGUUCACAUUCUUUUGGUUGUCUUCUCCACCCCAGGGCUAGGGACUUAACUUUUAAGUGAAAUCUCAUCCUGCAACACAAUUAUGCAGCUGCAUAACUGUAUUACACAUGGGGCCCGGAUUGUGACACUGCCUUCUAAUGAUGGAAUGUGAUGAGGAAAAAUUGUAAUUCAGCAUCAUGAUGUGGUUAUUUUGGGUCUUUCUGUAACUGCCUUUGAUAAGACAGUAACUGUCCACCUCUUCAAAGGUAGUAUCAUGGUUUUAAAUCAUUAUAAAUGUAUUAGCAUAAAAAUUUUAUGAUCAGUUAAUGGAAAAAUGGAGCAAAGUGGGGUAACAGAUAUAUUAUGGUAUUGCAAUAAACUUCAUAAUUACAAUUUUAGCACCCGGUGUCUAUGUUAUAUUUAUUAUACAUAUUAAAAUCUCAAGGGCUGUUAAGCAAUAUGUAAAAGUACCUAGCAGAGGUAUGGAUUGGUGUCUGUGUUGUUAAUAGCACUGUCUACAUUAUAAAGCAGAAGAUUAUAUUAAUCGUGAUAAUAAAAAUGGGACAGUACACAACAGAGAGGAAAACACAUUAAGUGAGGCUAGCAAGAGUAUUUUUUGUUGAGUUGCAGAGAGCUAGAACAUUCAUCUUUCUAAUGAGACCUGUUCUUCCAAAGAGAAGAAAAAAAAAAUCAAGAAGUUCAAUGUCCUUGUGUAGACAAGCCCUUAGAGAUAAUCUAGGCCAAAAACACAGGAACAGGGAAUUAUCAGGACAGACCUUUAGAGUUUUGAAGUUUAUUAGAAAUGUUGGCUAGCUCUUGCUUCUGCUCUGUUCUGGAUUUCUGCUCCAAGUAGAUUUGCUUAGCAUCCAGAGAAAAAGGUAUUGGUCUAAUAACAACAACAAUGAUAAUUAUAAUAAAAUCUGAAGAUAAAAGGAACUCCAAUCAAAAGGAAAUAUGUCAGAAAAGCCUAAACUCUCAGCUGAUCAUGCUCAGAAUAACCACAGUGUACUUCACUGAAAUUCAGUAAGAUUGGGGAUUAGAAAAGGAAGGCACAGUUUAUGAAAACUGUUCUUUUAUUGCAAUACUUUGGUGGAGGACAAACUACACAGACUGGGUUUGCCAUUCAGAUCUUCUCAAUAUCCCCUUAUUUUUGCACUUUAUCACUGCCAGAUAUUUGCCCUUUUUAUUGCCAUUACUGAGAGAGUGUCCUGCAUUUAACAUUAGAUAUUACUGCGGAUGUAACUGCAAUUUGUGGAUAAAGAGGACUUUGAUAUUAAUUGGGUUCCCUAAAGGCCCACGGUCACAGCCAGUACUGAAAGAAAAGGCAUCAGGAGAAAGGGUUCUAUUGAAAACACACCCUGGAGCCCAGGGGGGCACUAUGCAACAUGCUAAAAAACAAAACAAAUCCAUAACUAACAUUCAUCCUCAUAAAACGAAGGAAUUGAGAAUGCAGUUGUCUGGUACAAAUUUAGAAAAACAGGAAUGGGAGGGAAUGCUAAUAAAUACAGUGCUAAUAGAAGCCAUUCUAAAAUCCUAUUUUGUGGUGGGAAGUUUUUGGGGGCUUUUUAAGAAGUGGGAAGAAAAGCAUCUCAGGAGACUGCACAAUCCACUCCCUGAUGAUAAUACUGAGCAUUUAUCACAGUUUUAAUUCACAGAUCUCUAAAUGCUUUACAAUGGGGGAUAAGCAUGAUCAUCUCCAUUUUACAGACAGAGAAGUGCUUGUGCUAAGGCCAAACAUCAGUUCAGUGACAGCAUUAUUAGGAACAGAAGCCAGGGCUCCUGACUUCCAGACUGCUGCUCUGUUAAAUGGACUAUCCUGCCUCCUAAGGUCACCCAACAAAGAUGUGAUUGGCUGCCUGUUUAAGAUACAAGAGUUACAGGAAUUGCCAUACUGGAUCAGAUCCAAGGUCCAUCUAGUUCAGGAUCAUGUCUCCGACAGUGGCCAGGACCAGAUGCUUGAGAAGAACGCAAGAAUAGCCACACUGGGUCCAUGAAGCCAAGUAUCCUGUCUUCUGAUGGUGGCCAGUGCCAGAUGUUUCAGAGGGAAUGAACUGAAUCAGGCAAUUAUUGAGUGAUCCAUCCCCUGUUGUCCAGUCACAACUUCGAGCUGUCAGAGGUUCAGGGACACCCAGAGCAUGGGAUUGGGAGAAACCCCGCAAUAGGCAGAGUUGAUAGGGUUUGUGAUCAUGAGACAAAGGGAUAGCAUUUCCAUCCUUAUCACACAGGACUCCCCGUGAAUCACCAACAUUGGCCACUAAAGAACAGCUGUCAAAACUGGGAGCUUAUGUACAUCUGGCCAUGCCAACCCUCAGCAUUAGAUGUAAAUAGGUUGUACAUCCUCUGCAGGCCAGCUAUCAGGGUAUAAAGUAUGAUUUAAGAUACUAGCAAGGGCGCACUUGAGGAUAUGUUGCACUGUAUAUUCUAUGACAAGACAAGAGCAAAGUGGCUAAGGUCACUGUUAGUAAAUAAGAGAUUUGAAGAAUAUAGUAUGUUGGUUGUUGUACCAAAUAAAUAAGGAUACGCAGGUAUUGUGGCUCAUUUGUCCAUUUAGUAGAAAUGAAAAUGAAAAAAAAGCCAAGUUUAAUCAAGCAACUAUUUCAUGUUUUCCAUUUUUCCAGUUUGGAAUCUGAUUAACUUGAUUUUAUGUAUAAAGUUUUAUAUACACAUUGUAUCUUGUAUUAGUUUGGGGAAGGCAAAAGCCAAAUAUAAAGUCAAACAAAUAAUUGUGUGACCUGGAGGCCCAGACGAGUUAUCUAUAUGAAGUUUUGUAACAAAAGGUAACUUCAAAAUUGUCAUUACAUUAAUGCUCAUUGCUUAUGGAUUACACUUGCACCUAGAUAAGAUGGUAUAAAUGCUCCAAAACACUUCAGAAUCACAGAAAUAAAACAAGAAUUUGAGUUUAUAAAAAGAGAGCCUGCAAAAUAAAUAAAAAUGAACAACAGUUUGCAGUCAUGAACCCCACAACCUAGCUGUCAGCUAGGUAAAUAUUAUACUCCAUUUUUGCACUGUUGCACUUUCAGUUUGGUUUGCACAAUUUAUUUAAAGGUUUGAUUUUUGUUGCUUAGUCAGAUGGUUUUGGUAAAUGUAUUUUCAAACAAAAAGCAGUUGUUAGUUAUCCAUCAGUUCAAUUCAAACCUUAUUUCUGGCUUUGUUACUGUUUCAUAAUAAAAACCAUUUAUAAUCCAUUUUAGUCCAUUAUGAUUCAUCACUGCAUGUAACAUAAAAUCCUUUAAAUAAAGCUAAAAUAAUUCAUACAGUUUUACAAAAAUAUAUAAUGUCCCACUUCCACCAUUCAUAAGCUAUACUGUACUGCUCACAGUCUACCUCCAUCCUCCCCUCCACAGUUUAGCAUGUU